GACGAACGCUGGCGGCGUGCUUAACACAUGCGAGUCGAACGAAGAGCGAUGGAAGCUUGCUUCUAUCAAUCUUAGUGGCGAACGGGUGAGUAACGCGUAAUCAACCUGCCCUUCAGAGGGGGACAACAGUUGGAAACGACUGCUAAUACCGCAUACGAUCCAAUCUCGGCAUCGAGGAUGGAUGAAAGGUGGCCUCUAUUUAUAAGCUAUCACUGAAGGAGGGGAUUGCGUCUGAUUAGCUAGUUGGAGGGGUAACGGCCCACCAAGGCGAUGAUCAGUAGCCGGUCUGAGAGGAUGAACGGCCACAUUGGGACUGAGACACGGCCCAGACUCCUACGGGAGGCAGCAGUGGGGAAUCUUCCGCAAUGGACGAAAGUCUGACGGAGCAACGCCGCGUGAGUGAUGACGGCCUUCGGGUUGUAAAGCUCUGUUAAUCGGGACGAAAGGUCCUCUUGCGAAUAGUUAGAGGAAUUGACGGUACCGGAAUAGAAAGCCACGGCUAACUACGUG
This 510-nucleotide ribosomal RNA is filed under the name uncultured bacterium. RNAcentral's name for it is "partial 16S ribosomal RNA". It matches the Rfam family "Bacterial small subunit ribosomal RNA", at positions 28 to 507 of the family's 1533-position model. The record is from RNAcentral.